This is a long non-coding RNA of Oreochromis aureus, 1423 nucleotides long. Lineage: Eukaryota; Metazoa; Chordata; Actinopteri; Cichliformes; Cichlidae. The record is from Ensembl.
CCCACUCUCUGCUGGAUCCCUGCCGAGUGAAAGAAAUCUUUGGUUUUGCCUUUGCUGACUGCUGAUCUGAUCGUCUCAAGUCUGGACUUGGAUGAGAACAAGAUUUAUGCCAAUCCCGAGGUAACUGCAGCGCUCCAAACCAUGAGACAAGCCAGCGUUGAGGAAAUGAUGCCUCUUCUUCAGAGUCUCACCUCCAAGGCUCCUUUGUUGCAGACAGUCUUCAUUUGGACGGCUACACCAUGUUCAAACGCAACAGACAUGUGUCCUACACAAACUUUCCUCACAUGGCCAGCAGAAGUGGUGGUGGAGUUGUUGUGUAUUUGAGGAAUCAUUUUCAGGUUCAGGUAAAACAGUAUCUGCAUAAUGUCACUGAUCUUGAGUUCUUAGUGUUGAAGGUUCAGGCUCCAUUCCCUGCGCCAUUGCGGUUGUGUACAGACCUCCAGACUACAGUUUGGCACCGUUCAUGCAAAACCUGGUAAGUCUUUUAGAUUCACUUGAAAUAAUGGACUGUCACCCAAUCAUUGUGUGUGGAGAUUUUAAUGAGAACCAGUUACAGAGUGGAAGAAAACAGAUUCUGGAGCAGUUUCAGUCUAGAGGGUAUUCACAGCUGAUCACUUCUGCCACUACAGACAAGAACACCCUGCUUGACCUCAUUUUUGUUUCUCAGCCACAGCAGAAUCUUCAUUCAGGUGUCCUGAGGACAUAUUACAGUUACCACAACCCUGUGUUUUGUGUCCUGUCCUCCAGCCAAUCAUGAAGUUGUCUGACAGGGCACACACAGUCCUGUUUCCUUUGUGGGAAAACCUUCAAACUUCACCAUCCUCAGCUGAAACAACAACAUCUUAACACCAUCUUCAUGAACUGCUGAGCCAAACCUGAUCCAUCAGUGCUGGACUGCACAGAUAACUACAUGCCACAAGGAGACUGCUGUUUUAUGAACUGCCAUACCAGUGUGUCUUCAAUGGAGAAGAUGACACACCCAUCACCUGACCUCCUGCCUGAUCUGGAGACCAUCAUCAUGCUGCCACACUACACACCUCUGAGACCAUCAAUGAUGACUCAUACUGAGGAAACUGUAUUUGCUGUCAGAAAUGCUCAGUGAUCCUCAGAGCAGAGAGAGGUAUUGCUGUCUUCUGAGUUCUUCAGUGUCCCAACUGAGACAUUCAAACCUCAUCACAGAGCUCCUGUCUUUCCUCACCAUCAUGUGAGUGUGAGAUUGCUCUGGAUUCUGGUUAUGUGGCCUGCAGCACCUAUAAGAACAAGCUCGUCCUGUGUGCCUGCAUUCCAGCUUCUUAGACUCUACGCAAGUGGACAGAGUAUCAGUGUUUGGCCACCCUUACAGACACCGACUUCUGUCAACUCACUGCUACUGAUCAGGCACCUCACUCCAGGAAGACAGAGGGCUGCAAGCCUGUCAUCGCUU